CUGGAAGGCAGUUGUUUCAUGAUCCAGCUCGGCUUUUAUUAUGAAGUAAUAAAAAGUCUAUUUGAACUUACAUGCUCCGGUAUUUGUGAAAUAUGAUUAACAAAAUAUUUCCACGACAUAAAUGGCGAGCUAGCCAGGAGUGGCGAAAAGGGACCAGAGACGGUGAAAAUCUGCAGCUGUGAAUGGGUUUCCUGGACGGACUGCACAAAACACAAGCGGCCGCUUGUUAAGACGGACCUGAGCCCUAGGACCAUGCCUCAGGACUACCUGGCAUGAUGACUCCUUGCUGUCCCCAGUCCACCUGGCCGUGCUGCUGCUCCAGUUUCAACUGUUCUGCCUGCGGCUAUGGAACCCUGACCUGUUCACCGGACGUGCUUGUUGCACCCUCGACAACUACUAUGAUUAUUAUUAUUUGACCAUGCUGGUCAUUUAUGAACAUUUUAACAUCUUGACCAUGUUCUGUUAUAAUAUCCACCCGGCACAGCCAGAAGAGGACUGGCCACCCCUCAUAGCCUGUUUCCUCUCUAGGUUUCUUCCUAGGUUUUUGGCCUUUCUAGGGAGUUUUUCCUAGGGAGUUUUUCCUAGCCACCGUGCUUCUUUCACAUGCUUUGCUUGCUGUUUGGGGUUUUAGGCUGGGUUUCUGUACAGCACUUUGAGAAUAUCAGCUGAUGUACGAAGGGC
This 681-nucleotide long non-coding RNA is filed under the name Salmo salar (Atlantic salmon). RNAcentral describes it as "lncRNA (ENSSSAG00000094704.1)". The record is from RNAcentral. Lineage: Eukaryota; Metazoa; Chordata; Actinopteri; Salmoniformes; Salmonidae.